Molecule: non-coding RNA, 235 nt
Organism: Pelobates cultripes (western spadefoot toad)
Lineage: Eukaryota; Metazoa; Chordata; Amphibia; Anura; Pelobatidae
Source: the annotation of a GenBank genome assembly
UGGGGAUCCAGAGGGCAAUCCACACCCCCUUCUGAUUCAGGGGAACCUCAGACUCUCAACGUGGCUCCUUUCCGGGGACCCUGGGUCACACCAGAUGUUCCACAAGACACUCUCGACCUACUGGCAGGAGCAUGGGCACCUGGAACAAGACGAUCCUAUCACUAUGCCUGGAACGGAUGGAUUAGUUGGUGAAUGGAACAACAGGUGGACCCCAUACGUGCUCCUGUGAGUUACC